GACGAACGCUGGCGGCGUGCUUAACACAUGCAAGUCGAACGAUGAAGAAGAGCUUGCUCUUCGGAUUAGUGGCGAACGGGUGAGUAACACGUGACUAACCUGCCCCUUUCUCUGGGAUAACGCUCCGAAAGGAGUGCUAAUACCGGAUACUCACAUCGAGGCACAUGCCUUGAUGUGGAAAGUUUUUCGGAAAGGGAUGGAGUCGCGGCCUAUCAGCUUGUUGGUGAGGUAACGGCUCACCAAGGCGACGACGGGUAGCCGGCCUGAGAGGGCGAACGGCCACACUGGGACUGGAACACGGCCCAGACUCCUACGGGAGGCAGCAGUGGGGAAUAUUGCACAAUGGUCGAAAGCCUGAUGCAGCGACGCCGCGUGGGGGAUGAAGGUCUUCGGAUUGUAAACCUCUUUCAGUAGGGACGAAGCGAAAGUGACGGUACCUAAAGAAGAAGCACCGGCUAACUACGUGCCAGCCGCCGCGGUAA
Molecule: ribosomal RNA, 482 nt
Filed under: uncultured bacterium
Lineage: Bacteria
Description: partial 16S ribosomal RNA
Rfam family: Bacterial small subunit ribosomal RNA
Source: RNAcentral